This 594-nucleotide ribosomal RNA is filed under the name Triticum aestivum (bread wheat). Its description in RNAcentral is "partial small subunit ribosomal RNA". Lineage: Eukaryota; Viridiplantae; Streptophyta; Magnoliopsida; Poales; Poaceae. The record is from RNAcentral.
AUGUGGGCACCUGAUAUCUAUGAGGGUUCACCCACCCCGGUGACAGCAUUCCUUUCUAUUGCGCCUAAAAUCUCUAUUUCUGCAAAUAUGUCACGUGUUUCUAUUGUUGCUUCCUAUGGGGGUACAUUACAACAAAUCUUCUUUUUCUGCAGCAUUGCUUCUAUGAUCUUAGGAGCACUGGCCGCCAUGGCCCAAACGAAAGUCAAAAGACCUCUAGCUCAUAGUUCAAUUGGACAUGUAGGUUAUAUUCGUACUGGUUUCUCAUGUGGAACCAUAGAAGGAAUUCAAUCACUACUAAUUGGUAUAUUUAUUUAUGCAUCAAUGACGAUAGAUGCAUUCGCCAUAGUUCCAGCAUUACGGCAAACCCGUGUCAAAUAUAUAGCGGAUUUGGUCGCUCUAGCCAAAAUGAAUCCUAUUUCGGCUAUGACCUUCUCCAUUACAAUGUUCUCAUACGCAGGAAUACCCCCGUUAGCCGGCUUUUGUAGCAAAUUCUAUUUGUUCUUCGCCGCUUUGGGUUGUGGGGCUUACUUCCUAGCCCCAGUGGGAGUAGUGACUAGCGUUAUAGGUCGUUGGGCUGCCGGAAGGUUGCCAUGA